Molecule: non-coding RNA, 6205 nt
Organism: Phasianus colchicus (ring-necked pheasant)
Lineage: Eukaryota; Metazoa; Chordata; Aves; Galliformes; Phasianidae
Source: RefSeq, a predicted model, not a curated record
AUGGCUCCUAACACUUGAAUAUCCAUGUGAGCCCACAGGAAUUCCGCAUCCCAGCUCCCAGUUGUAUUUUGUAGGCUUUCCAUCACUACCAAAGCUGGAGACAGCUAUCACUGACUGUGCGCCACACAGAGAUAAACAGUGUUCUUCAGCUGCUCUUUGUUCUGAGGGCCACCACCCCCCAGCUUCUGACCAGACAGGCUUCCUUCCCCACUGGCCCAUGGACCUUCUUGACCAAGAAAACCACCCCUCCAUGCUGGCACUUGCACCACAUUGUGUGAAGGCACAGAAGAGAAUGAUUUAGUGACUAUCUGCCAUUAUCCCUUCAAAACAUCUUUACAACGUGGAGGUGGAAAAUGAGGAGAAAGAUGAGCUUUGCAGGCGAAGUGAAGAAGCUGAUCCCUCUGGCAGAGGAACAGUCUGCAAGUCUCCCAUUAUGGAACCAAACUGUACAGGGUCACACAGAUCACCAUGCAGGCCAAGGUCACCCUUAUCUGCAUUAGCAUUAGCCCUUAUUUGUCUUUCAGCCUUUACUCCCAAAGAGCUGAAAGCCCAAAGCAGAGCAGAAUAUACAACUCCUUUUCCCUGGACACUUAUUGCAUUAUUAAAGAUGGAUUUAAACAAGUUUUUCCUAUCCGAAAGCUAAAAUGCCUUAAAAAAAAAAAAAAAGCAGAAAAUGACAACUUUGCCUGAGGGAAACCACUCUUUGUUUUGGCUUAACUGAACACCCAUUAAUUUUAUAAGAAUGGGCAGGGGGAAGGGUUUGCAUCUCCUCAGAUUUAUAGCUUUCUCAUGCCAACUGGGAAGGAAAUUCUCACAUGCUCAUGGAGCAUCAGACUUCUCCCACAAAGCUCAUAUUUACAGAAGAAUGCAAAGUUCCCCAAGGGAGUCUACGAGCUGAUGAGACUACGAGGAUCUGUUAUUUAUAUUACAACAGUGCCCAAGAUUCUUGGGACAUUGCACACAUUUGGGGGAAGACACAGCCCCUCCCUCUUCACGCUCACAGCAAAUUAUUCACUUUCAUGGAAAUCAGCAUGAGCUUCACGUGUUUUCUGGAACAGAGCUAUUAGUUCACACACCCCAGAGGCAACUUGAUGCCUGUGUCUGGCCACUGCAGCAAACAAUGAGCCUUCUCAUUCGGGUGAUACUUGCUGUGCCCAAGCUUGCCAGACAGGAUUGCAGGCAAGCAACAUGAGCCACGAUGUGCCAGAUGCACCAGCGUACCCUGGAAACAACCCCACUCGACUCACUGGAGCUGAUUGCUAAAGAAGUGUGUGUGUAAUCUGAGCAAUUUAACGAAGUUGGUGAGUUCCUGGGAGUGUGCUGAAUCAAGCAGCUGCUGACAGAGCUGGUGUCAUCACUUCUCCUUCAAGCCACAAAUGACUCAUCCUGGUUAAUGCAACCAGUUUUCCACUUGUGUAUGCUGGGGGGCACAGAACAAAGAAAAGGUUGCAGCAUGAUUUGCCCUGAAGCCAGAACACAGCUCUGUCAUGAGAAAUAGCUCGCUGAAGGGAAACAAGUCGUUUCACAAACCUCAAAGUAUCCACUGAGCCUACAGAGCCUUCUAGAAUGGAAAGGGCUUCACAGAAAAAAAGUACAGACUGCUGAAAGGACCAGAAUGGGUGGGGGAAGAAAGGAAAGCCCCGUAAAGUGUCAAAUGCAGAAUGCCUGACUGUGUGCUGGAAAGUCCUCCUCCUGCAGUUUGUGUGCAAUACAGAGAAGUGAUGGGCUUACAAAUACAGAAAGGGAAGUUUGGGUUAGAAUGAAGAAAACACUUUCUACCAGAGAGAACAAAGUUGUUGAAUAGGAGAGACUACAACACCUCGCCUUCAGAGGUCAGCCAAGGGACCCACAACCCAUCUUCCAAACACCUACUGACCCCACACAGGAUGGGGAGAAGGACAAGACAGAUACAUAGGGCCCCUUGCAGCCCUACAAUCAACUGGGAGCUCCUCAAAAAGAAAUUAAAGAACUCGGAAACAUGUCCUGACAUCAGAGCUCAGGGCUAAGCACAUUGGGACUGUCACUGCUGCAUUCAAAUCUAAACAGAUUCCAGAAGGGCUGCAUCCUGAUGGAUGCAUGCCAGCUAGAGACUCCAGGGGGGACCACAGAGCCUCCCCAUCCUAACUCUGAGUUUUGGAAUUGCUGUACUAUGCCUACAGCCCAGAAGUAGCACAAGUAGAAAAGGACUGUACUUCUGAAAGCCCCAAAUUUGCCUGGGGCAACACUGCACAGAAGAAUUUAACCAGUAGUACUCUCACUCCCACAACAAAUCUUCACAGAGCUCAGCUUCUCCUGGAGGUGAGCUGAGCAUCCCUGCCCUGAGGGCAGCAGACGAGCUCCUACCAACUCCCUUUCCACAGAAGUCUUAACUGUUUCUUAUUACUUUUAACUUCUGAUAGGGAGCAAAGCCUGUUGUCACACAGAGGUUUUAAGCAACUAACAUUUGUCUUCCUGCCUACAGAAAGCUGCCAAAUCAUAAAGCUCCAUCCUGUUUGUAAAGCAAGCCCUAGGGUAUUAUUUUUCCUAAAGUCAAUGAUGUCACAGAAAUACUACUUGAAAACAGAAUCUAAAAUUACACUCUUGAGUGCAACACAUUCUGGAGUUUUCGUUGGCACUGCUAAAAUUGUUCUGUUGUGUUUUUCUGGCACAGGCCACAGUCAGAUAAUUGCUUGGGGCUAAUCUUGAGAAGGCAAAAUAUACACAACCAGCACAAUUCCACUUCUGCUCCAUGUUCUAUUAAGAAACAAAUAUUCUCCACAGCAUGAAGUCCGGUUAUCUUUGCCAAAAAUAUGUACUAAGUGGAGCUGAGUGAAUUUGGAGAGGGGGGUAAAGAGUACAAUUCUGGCAGUGCCAAAAGCCUUUGUGAAUUAUUGCACAACCAAAUUGGGGUGAGGUGUUCCAAAGCUGGAAUUGUGAGGUCAAAGAGCUUUGUUUUAGCCUGAAGGAAUUCUGGUCUCCCCCCCUCCCAGAAGUAUGAAUGAACAAGGCAGAGAAGGGGACACCUAGCCCACACUCUGCUCUGUCUCCAAGCACAAUUUCAUAACUGUUCCAGACAAGUUAAAUCAGCCAUUUAAAGACCUUUCCACCUCCUAAUUUUACUGGGUUAUAAAAGAUUUGUUGCCCAGCAUUAUUCCACCCUAUUUACAGUAGCAGAAACUUGGUGCCAAGAACCAGAGCACAUGAAGCCAUUGUAGAGAGGUGGUAGCAAGCAGUGCCAAGUCCUGCUUUCAAGAGCAUGCUUGCAGCACCGCCGGUGUAAUUGGGCCAGCUACCAUGCAGUUCAGUCAGAUAUCCCCUUCACCACAUCUGGCAGAAAUCAUCAUCAUGCCCAGAAUACCAGCAUCCAGGUACAGCUUCACAUCAGUGUCUCAGGAUGCAGGCUUGGAGAAGCCCAACUCCUGAUUUAUUUUGGCACCUUUGCUAUUGACCCCAGCUGCAACCAGAGCUGUGGAAACAUUAGAAGAAAGCGAACCACACUUCAUCAAAACUCAAAGCCCAAAUCUUUGUUAUUUGGAUGAAAGCCAAUAUUUAGAGAACAAGCAAGUUGUAUGAAGAACCUCAACAGGAGACAAAAACAGAAAGAAGCCCCAUUUUUCCACAGGAAGAAUCCUCGCCUGCACCAAGUCAGCCAGCCUCUUCGAGAUGAGUACUGGUACAGCCAUUGCUGACACAUCCUGGAUGACAGGAUGCUUUCAGGAGCAAAUUCAUCAAGUGUUCUACUUAAACAUUGCAAAUGGGCAGCGAAAGCUGCAUCUUUGACCAAGGACAGGGAACAAGAGGAUGUGGAAGGGCAAAUAAGGCAAACUGCUUAUGGUUGAGAAUCAGAAAAAGAGGAGGUGACCAAAGGGACUAACAGUAUUUCACAACAGGAUCUGGACAACAUUUGCCAGGGAGAUGCGAAGAGCUGGAUCAGUGACAGAGCCAUGACAUCUAAUCGAGGGUGACAUCUGCCUCUGGCUAGAGCAGCAAGAUUGUUUUCACCACUGCUGGAAAGAAGACCGCUGUAGUCAGAAACAGAGCUGCUGAGGAAAGAAGUAUGAGUGUAGGAAGAAAGCAGUCAGGAAUUCACUAUUACACACAAAACGGAGGCAUACAUUAGACAUCACCCAAAGAAAGAGUAAAUAAAAUGCUAGACUAGAACCUUGGUGGGUUACAGAGAGUGAUUAAGGAAGUAGGGACAGUUGGGGGAGAAAGGCCAGUGACUUUCACACUUCAUUCAGGUUGUUUAAGAGUCAUUUGGCAGAGACACCCUCGUGGGGUGGGAAGAUGCAGUAGCAAAAAUUGGAGACAAUUCCCAGUAGUACAGUUGGCAACAUGUGAAAUCCAGAGAGAAAGGUCAGCACAGAGGCAGAGAACAAGCAAGACAGAUUAUUGGGGUUUAAAACAAGAGACACCUUAGAAAGUCAAAAUGAAACACGUCUGUUUAUUGAUAGCUCUUUGAGACUGAGCUAAAUUUAAAAUCAAGAACACUUGAAAUGUUCUACACAGACGUGGUUAGUUGUACUGCUUUGGUUAACACCCUUCCUGGCAGCAAAAGGCACUUUCAUGUGGUAAAGGCAGUGCUAGGAGAACAUAGCAGCAUUCUCCUAGCCGUUCUCCAAGCAAGAACACUGCUGUGUUCUCCUCACCUGACCUCCGCUAGGUUAGUCUGCACAUUUCUGCCCAGUGGGUCUCCAUUCCCCAUUCCCAAAAUCGGAGACCUCAGAAGGUUACCCAGUUACUGGGCAGCGUAAGUCAGCAGUUGCCAGCACCACCCAACAACCACCCAAAUCAGCACAACAUGCAAAGCAUGGAGAGCAUCUCAGAGCUCCCUUUGCAUCACCCAGGUCUGAAAAGGAUGCCUCUUCCCAAAGAAUCCCAGGUCUGUCAUUGCAGAGGGUCAGGACAGACUCCUUAGAGAGUCACAGGAUUCAUGCUGUCACUCAUAUUAAUGAUGCAAUGCUUUAUUAAUUGGAGUUUUCCUGAACAGCAUGUGUAGUAUCAGUGACACUCAUAAUUAAAUAGGCAGGCAGCAUUUUUUUUUUUUUUAAAUGAGCAGAGAGUUAAUUGAAUUCUGGAGUCCCUGUGAUCAGCUGUGAAAUUUAUACCUGCAAUUUGUGCAGGCAGCAAGAACUAGAGCCUUUGGGGCCUUGUUAUUCAUCAAAAAUAGGCUGAUUUAUUUGUGCCAAGUAUCUCUGUAGGAGGCUCUUGGGCCCGAUGUACAGUCACUUUCCUCCAAUUAACCUCCCUGGCCUAGAGGGAAAAGAGAAUUAGACAUCUGUUAAAAGCACGAACCUAGUCUUGAGAAAGUAGGCACAUUUUAGUGAAGCCAACUCUCAUCUGAGUUAACCUCUGGCCACCAGUAGUUGAGGAGUUCCCAGCAUGAAAUAUGUCAAGAACAGCUGAGACAAACUACAGAGCUGAAGUUAAUCACAGACAACAGGAGGUGGAAUGGACCUGGCUUGAGACAGUUGGACCUGCCUUCACACUCGUUUUUACUAUGAACAUCUCUAACUCUGCUUCAAGUUUUCUACCAUUGUUAGUACCUUGGCAACUACCACCCCUCCAGACAUUUGAUUUUCCUUUCUCUUGGCCUGCCCUACACAUAAAUCCUCUACAGCCAUACAACUACUUUCCAAGACUGAAUUAGUUACUUAUCACCAGGUAAUUUCUCUCCUUCCAUUUUCCCAGCUUGUCUAUGCGAAAUUCAGUCCCCAGAAGACAGUGUUUUGGUCAGCUCUUUUCAUGCCACCUUUCUUCCAAUUACUGCUAGAUCUGGGUAAAUCUCUGUAAAAGAACUGGAACUGUUUCACCUUUUUUUUUUUUUUUUGUCUUGCUCAGGUUGGGGCUCAGCUCAAGGCUGCUCAGCACAGUGGAAGCAGGCAUUUCUCAGCAGUACAAAGAAUAAUUUGUAUGUGCAUUCAGGAAACUUUCCAGCCACGCACUCCUUUGCAUCACCAUCUCAAGACAGACCAGACAGCAUCUGAGCAGGGGUUUAUUUGGAGCUAAGUGCCUCCAAACUGCCCAAGGCCUUUGUUAACCUUCUCUUAGAAUUAAAUAUUAUUAUAGAGCAAUGGUAGAGCCAGAAACCAAUGAUAUCUUUGCUCAACUGAGUUUCCAGUGCCGGGCUAGCUCUGCCAACAAUAUGACAUUAUUCUUCAGCACUGAAGCUCUGCACCAGCACGUAUUAGCUAAUCCCCUGCAAGCGUGCAGGAUAUAGAUUUCA